RNAcentral lists this small nucleolar RNA (117 nucleotides) under Neotoma lepida (desert woodrat). RNAcentral describes it as "Small nucleolar RNA SNORA26". It matches the Rfam family "Small nucleolar RNA SNORA26". From Rfam's summary of the family: The snoRNA HBI-6 belong to the H/ACA family of snoRNAs, guiding the pseudouridylation of position U4522 if the 28S rRNA. HBI-6 is the human orthologue of mouse MBI-6 snoRNA. Lineage: Eukaryota; Metazoa; Chordata; Mammalia; Rodentia; Cricetidae. The record is from Rfam by way of RNAcentral.
UCNUUCUUUUAAGGNUGGUGCUGUACUUUAAGAGGCUAACACAGAGGGUAAAGGAACUCCGUAAGAUCCAGGGAGGANACUGUAAGCCUCCCCUUUGGAUCCUGUCUAGUUACAGCU